CUACGGGUUGCACCAGUGAGGAAUAUUGGUCAAUGGACGGAAGUCUGAACCAGCCAAGUCGCGUGAAGGAUGAAGGUAUUAUGUAUUGUAAACUUCUUUAGUAGCAGAGUAAUAAGGGUCUCGUGAGGCCCGAUGCAAGUAUGCUAAGAAUAAGGAUCGGCUAACUCCGUGCCAGCAGCCGCGUGUAAUACGGAGGAUCCGAGCGUUAUCCGGAUUUAUUGGGUUUAAAGGGUGCGUAGGCGGUUCUUUAAGUCAGCGGUCAAAACAUGGGGCUCAACCCCAUCUCGCCGUUGAAACUGGAGGACUUGAUUUCGCACGAGGUUGGCGGAAUUCGUUGUGUAGCGGUGAAAUGCAUAGAUAUGACGAAGAACUCCGAUUGCGUAGGCAGCUGACCAGGGCGACAAUGACGCUGAGGCACGAAAGUGCGGGGAUCGAACAGGAUUAGAUACCCGUGUAGUC
Molecule: ribosomal RNA, 459 nt
Filed under: uncultured bacterium
Lineage: Bacteria
Description: partial 16S ribosomal RNA
Rfam family: Bacterial small subunit ribosomal RNA
Source: RNAcentral